Molecule: ribosomal RNA, 163 nt
Filed under: Sphinctanthus microphyllus
Lineage: Eukaryota; Viridiplantae; Streptophyta; Magnoliopsida; Gentianales; Rubiaceae
Description: 5.8S ribosomal RNA
Rfam family: 5.8S ribosomal RNA
About the family: 5.8S ribosomal RNA (5.8S rRNA) is a component of the large subunit of the eukaryotic ribosome.
Source: RNAcentral
AAACGACUCUCGGCAACGGAUAUCUCGGYUCUCGCAUCGAUGAAGAACGUAGCGAAAUGCGAUACUUGGUGUGAAUUGCAGAAUCCCGCGAACCAUCGAGUCUUUGAACGCAAGUUGCGCCCGAAGCCAUCAGGCCGAGGGCACGUCUGCCUGGGCGUCACGC